GAGAGAGAGACAUGCGCGCAUAUCAAUAAGCGGAGGAAAAGAAACUAACAAGGAUUCCCCUAGUAACGGCGAGUGAAGCGGGAAGAGCUCAAAUUUGAAAUCUUAAAGGGUUUCCCUUUACGAAUUGUAGUUUAAAGAAGUGUUUUCUGUUGAGGUUUUGGUAAAAGUUCUUUGGAAUAGGACAUCAUAGAGGGUGAGAAUCCCGUAUUUGACCAUUACUUUCCAACUUUGUGAUACACUUUCAAAGAGUCGGAUUGUUUGGGAAUGCAGUCCAAAAUGGGUGGUAAAUUUCAUCUAAAGCUAAAUAUUGGCGAGAGACCGAUAGCGAACAAGUACCGUGAGGGAAAGAUGAAAAGAACUUUGAAAAGAGAGUUAAACAGUACGUGAAAUUGUCAAAAGGGAAGCGUUUGACACCAGUGUUGUUUUUCUGAAAAUCAAUUAAAGAACUGUUUAUGCUAAGCUGUUUAGACUUUAUCAGCUAACUGUUUAGUUUUGAGCUUUUCUUUAAUGCACUUUUCAGUUAACAAGUCAACAUCAAUUUCUUUUGCUGUAAAAAGGCUUGAGGAAGGUGGCUUGAGAUUCGUCUUAAGUGUUUAUAGCCUCCUGCCUAUGCAGUCGGAGAGAUUGAGGUCUGCAGCGUAGAUCCUUCGGGGUUAGAUACAUUUGUGCUAAGUUAUAGCCUUUCAUAGACAACUUGUUGACUAUGAUCAGUCAUGUAGCUUACUCGCUUAUGCUAUUUUACCUACGCUUAGGAUGUUGAUGUGAUACUGCGAGCA
Molecule: ribosomal RNA, 776 nt
Filed under: uncultured Neocallimastigales
Lineage: Eukaryota; Fungi; Neocallimastigomycota; Neocallimastigomycetes; Neocallimastigales
Description: partial large subunit ribosomal RNA
Rfam family: Eukaryotic large subunit ribosomal RNA
Source: RNAcentral